RNAcentral lists this long non-coding RNA (1338 nucleotides) under Piliocolobus tephrosceles (Ugandan red Colobus). RNAcentral's name for it is "lncRNA (ENSPTEG00000025013.1)". The record is from RNAcentral. Lineage: Eukaryota; Metazoa; Chordata; Mammalia; Primates; Cercopithecidae.
UUUUCCAUGGACACAGCCUAGCAGAAAGACGCAGCCUUCAUGCUUCGCUGACUGCUGACCGCUGACCGACCGCCUUGAUGACAGCACCCUCGUGUGCCUUCCCAGUUCAGUUCCGGCAGCCCUCAGUCAGCGGCCUCUCGCAGAUAACCAAGAGCCUGUAUAUCAGCAAUGGUGUGGCCGCCAACAACAAGCUCAUGCUGUCUAGCAACCAGAUCACCAUGGUCAUUAAUGUCUCAGUGGAGCGUGGAGAUGAAGCAGGGCCGUACUCUGCUGCACUGCGCUGCUGGUGUGAGCCGCUCAGCCGCCCUGUGCCUCGCCUACCUCAUGAAGUACCACGCCAUGUCCCUGCUGGACGCCCACACGUGGACCAAGUCAUGCAGGCCCAUCAUCCGACCCAACAGCGGCUUUUGGGAGCAGCUCAUCCACUAUGAGUUUCAGUUGUUUGGCAAGAACACUGUGCACAUGGUCAGUUCCCCAAUGGGAAUGAUCCCUGACAUCUAUGAGAAGGAAGUCCGUUUGAUGAUUCCACUGUGAGCCAUCCCACCAGCCCCUGCAUUGGAGUCAGAGGUACAGAUCUAUUGUUGAUCCUACACCAAGAUCCAAACUUGAACAUUCUACUUUUGUUUAUACGGAAAAAAACAGAUGAUGCCUUUUAUGAGCACAAGGAAAAAGAGUUGCUGUAGCUUUUAACUUUGUAAUCCAUUUUUUUAAAGAGUGAACUCACUAGUUGUGAAAUGGUGAAGGUCAAUUUUCUGCCCUGUGAGUGACAGGCCUCUGCUGGCCAGGGGAUAGGUUGAGGCAGAUGAUUCCCAGAAGAAAGAGGCCAGCACCCACUGCACAUGGCAGGCCUGGAAUCCUGCAUCCCUCCCCAAAACCGAGUGACCCAGGAAUGAAUCUGCUACAAUUCCACCUCGUUCUUCCACACCCAGAGCCAGAACCUUAAGCAUCAUGGUACCUCUUGCGCUUCUCACAAAACAAGUUGAAGUACCUGGCCUUCCUCCGCAAGCACAUAAACAGCAACCCUUCCGUAUGCACCUGCCACUUCUGGGCCCCCACCACUUCCAGGUCCCCAGCCGCAUCUUCUGGUGGACGGCGAGGCAAGGAGACCAAGGAGGCCAGGCCGCCCAGGACUACUUCAAGGUGUGUAAUGGCAUCCCACCGCCCUAUGACAAAAAAGCGGGUGGUGGUUCCUGCUGCCUUCCAGGUCGUGCAUCUGAAGCCUACAAGGAAGUUUGCCUACCUGGGGCACCUGGCUCACAAGGUUGGCUGGAAGUACCAGACAGUGGCAGCCGCCCUCCAGGAGAAGAGGAAGAAGGCCAAGAUCCACUACCGGAAUAA